GAUAGAGGAGAGCAGCCUUUUCCAGUGGUCACACCUGGUGGUCCUCAAAGAAUGUUGGCACCGCCUAGUGGCAGCAACCCAUUUAGUGCUGAUGUUUAUAGGGGGUCAGUCCUGUCAUCUUCUCCAGCUGUGCCUUUUCCAUCUACACCUUUUCAGUAUGUCUUUCCUUUUGGAGCCAAUUUUCCUCUACCCUCAGCAACACUUUCAGGUGGUUCAACAACAUAUGUGGAUUCAUCAUCUGGCGGGAGGCUUUGCUUUCCUGCUAUUCAUUCUCAAGUAUUAGCACCUGCUGGUGCAGUCCCAUCUCAUUAUCCAAGACCUUUUGUUGUUAGCCUCCCGGAUAAUAACAAUAAUGGAAGCACCGAGAGCAGCAGGAAAUGGGG
Molecule: unclassified non-coding RNA, 383 nt
Filed under: Hevea brasiliensis (rubber tree)
Lineage: Eukaryota; Viridiplantae; Streptophyta; Magnoliopsida; Malpighiales; Euphorbiaceae
Source: RNAcentral